This 459-nucleotide ribosomal RNA is filed under the name uncultured bacterium. RNAcentral describes it as "partial 16S ribosomal RNA". It matches the Rfam family "Bacterial small subunit ribosomal RNA", at positions 338 to 795 of the family's 1533-position model. The record is from RNAcentral.
CCUACGGGAGGCAGCAGUGAGGAAUAUUGGUCAAUGGCCGGAAGGCUGAACCAGCCAAGCCGCGUGAAGGACGAAGGUGCCAAGCAUUGUAAACUUCUUUUGCCAAGGGACAAAAUCAGGCUCGAGAGCCUGACCGAGGGUACUUGAAGAAAAAGCAUCGGCUAAUUCCGUGCCAGCAGCCGCGGUAAUACGGAGGAUGCGAGCGUUAUCCGGAUUUAUUGGGGUUAAAGGGUGCGUAGGCGGGCUGUUAAGUCAGCGGUAAAAGCCCGGGGCUCAACCCCGGCGAGCCGUUGAAACUGGGUGUCUUGAGAUGUCGAGAGGUAUGCGGAAUGCGUGGUGUAGCGGUGAAAUGCUUAGAUAUUACGAAGAACUCCGAUUGCGAAGGCAGCCUGCCGGCGGGCAACUGACGCUGAGGCACGAAAGCGUGGGUAUCGAACAGGAUUAGAUACCCGAGUAGUC